UAGUUGGUGGGUGAAAUAAAGCAAAAGACGGUUCGAAGGACCACUUUCAUGUUCACCUUGUUAUUAGUUUUUGAUCAUCAGUUUUGCUAAAAUGUUUAAUUUUGUUCACACGUCGCUUGCCAAAAGGGUUUUCUGAAUACUGAUUGGUUAUUAUUCUCCGAUUGCAGGCAAGUUUCAGAUGCAGGUGCUGACGCGCUGCGGCCACGCGGUGCACGAGGACUCGCCCGCUGAAGUAAGCCGCGUGCUGGCGUCGUUCCUCCUGCGCCACCGCCUCACGUCGCCGACCGAAAACGGAGAGCACAUGCAGCUCGUCCAAACGCCUUCUUGUUAAAUUUUGGGCUGUUUGAUUGGACUUUUAAAAUCAUAAAAAAUAGUAAAAAAAAACAAUUUAAAUGAUACAAAAUUGACAGGAAUCGAUGUACUUUCGGGCAGGGAGACCAAAAAAUCGAAUUUUUUUUUUUGAUUUUUUGUCAUUUUUGUUAACUGUGUAGUGUUGUUUUGUUAUUUAUUUCCGAAUUUUAGGUGCCAGAGUUAAAUAAAUUAGCACAAAUUGGAUUUGGGAUUCAUUUUCUAAAUAACCUGUUUUUCUUUGGUUAUACAAUGUGUAUAUUUUAAAGGUGAUUUUAAAAGUUCCAUCGAAAGGAGAAAAUAAUAUGUAAAUAAUUUACAUAACUAUUUCAGAUGCUAAUAGAUUUAUUAAAUAGAAUUUUUGACGUCAAGACUGCUAUAAAAAUUAGUGUUUGUAACCAGUCAAGUCUCAUUUUCUGUUCCUCCGUAAUUUUUUACGUAUAAAAAAAGUAUUUAGUACUUAUUCGAUUAUAGAUUCAGUAUUUACUUAAGCUGUCUAUUUAUUAUUUAGAUAGUUCAAUUUCUCAUUUAUGUAUAAAUAAGAAAAAUUAUCACAAGAUAUUUUAAUAUUUUAUUUAUUACGUAAUAUCUGAUUUAUAUUUGGUAUUUAUUUAAAAUAAUCUGUAAUACGUAUGUUGUGACAAAACGUACAUAACUUAUGAAAAUGAAUAAAUUAUCUUCCAUUAUAUUCCUAUAUUGAGUAGCAUUUUGAUCAAAAAACAAAAUCAAAUGUUGGUGACCGAAACCUACUAAAUGAUGUAAAUUAAUAAUAUCCAAUAACAAUAAUUAAGUUAAAAGAGGUGCGUUAAGAUUUGAUGCGUACUGAUUUUUUUGAUUUCAUAGCUGUUAUUAAUAUUUUUCUCCCUGCGUUUACAUUACAUUGUUUUUCAUUUACAUUUUUUCUUUUAUGAAAAGAUAUGAAAAAAGUAAAAAAAAAAUCUCUCAAAAUUUAUUUAUUCAUAUAAGUCUCUUUUCAAACAUACAAAUCGUUUGUAAAUCAUUAAUUAAGUAUUGGCUUUUCUAUUUUUAUUCAAAAUCAAAUCCCCAGGGAAAUGGGUAAUGCGAGUAAAAACCCCCGGCUCUAUGUAUCUUUCCCAACUAGGCGGGCGAAGCCACGGGCGGAGAACUAGUGUAUUAUAUCUAUAAAAUCCAACAGAUGAUUGUAUCCGUUAUGUAAUUAUGAAUUAGUUGAAUUAUACUUGAUAUUUGGUUUCUAUUUGGAAGAUGGUGAAUUUAAUUUAUUUAAGAUAUAAAAUAAGUACAGUGGAAUUAGAAAAAAUAUUUAUGUAAGAAAUGUUGUGAAUAAAGUAAUUAUGGAA
Molecule: long non-coding RNA, 1667 nt
Organism: Zerene cesonia (dogface butterfly)
Lineage: Eukaryota; Metazoa; Arthropoda; Insecta; Lepidoptera; Pieridae
Exons: 2
Source: RefSeq, a predicted model, not a curated record